GAUGAACGCUGGCGGCGUGCCUAAUACAUGCAAGUCGAGCGAACGGACGAGAAGCUUGCUUUUCUGAUGUUAGCGGCGGACGGGUGAGUAACACGUGGAUAACCUACCUAUAAGACUGGGAUAACUUCGGGAAACCGGAGCUAAUACCGGAUAAUAUUUUGAACCGCAUGGUUCAAAAGUGAAAGACGGUCUUGCUGUCACUUAUAGAUGGAUCCGCGCUGCAUUAGCUAGUUGGUAAGGUAACGGCUUACCAAGGCAACGAUGCAUAGCCGACCUGAGAGGGUGAUCGGCCACACUGGAACUGAGACACGGUCCAGACUCCUACGGGAGGCAGCAGUAGGGAAUCUUCCGCAAUGGGCGAAAGCCUGACGGAGCAACGCCGCGUGAGUGAUGAAGGUCUUCGGAUCGUAAAACUCUGUUAUUAGGGAAGAACAUAUGUGUAAGUAACUGUGCACAUCUUGACGGUACCUAAUCAGAAAGCCACGGCUACCUACGUG
Molecule: ribosomal RNA, 497 nt
Filed under: uncultured bacterium
Lineage: Bacteria
Description: partial 16S ribosomal RNA
Rfam family: Bacterial small subunit ribosomal RNA
Source: RNAcentral